CCCUUAGAUGUCCUGGGCCGCACGCGCGCUACACUGACAUGUUCAACAAGUUUCUCCUAGUUCGACAGGACUGGGAAAUCUUUGAACGCAUGUCGUGAUAGGGAUAGAUCAUUGCAAUUAUUGAUCUUGAACGAGGAAUUCCUAGUAAACGCGAGUCAUCAGCUCGCAUUGAUUACGUCCCUGCCCUUUGUACACACCGCCCGUCGCACCUACCGAUUGAAUGUUUCGGUGAAGAUUCCGGAUAGGACUGAUUUGAUUUAUUUCAUUUCUGACCUAAAAGCUAUUUAAACCUCAACAUUUAGAGGAAGGUGAAGUCGUAACA
RNAcentral lists this ribosomal RNA (322 nucleotides) under uncultured eukaryote. RNAcentral describes it as "partial 18S ribosomal RNA". It matches the Rfam family "Eukaryotic small subunit ribosomal RNA", at positions 1470 to 1796 of the family's 1831-position model. The record is from RNAcentral.